ACCCCAGGAUUGGACAAAGUCCUGAAUUUGAUUAAUGCAAAAUACAAAAUCAAUCACACCAAUGUCGAAUGUGAAAAGCGUUUCAUAAUUAAACUACUAAUUAAAAAAGGUAAAACCCAGAAAGCGGCUUUAACAUUAGAAUCAGGAAACACUUACAAAUAAAGCAAUGAACAGAAUUUCAGGCUUACAAAUGAAACACCGAGAAAUAAAUCCACAAAAUGUAGAUUGUAGCCAAUCAAAAUCAUGAAGGAAGGCAUCACAAACAACGCAUUACAGAUUACGAAUAAAAAACAAAACUUGAAGGCACCCAAAAGAGAAAAAGAACACAUAUACAUUAAAAAGUGGAAAAAUACCUUGAUGGGAAAGCAAGGAAAUCCCAGAUCCUAUGUGGUCAAGAGCAGAGAUGAAGGCUACCAAAGAAAAAUGAUAGCCUGAAAAAGAAAUACGCAGUAUUGGAAUAUGAUGUAUAAAUAGAAAUAAGAAACAGUUUUGGAGAGAGAAAGAGAAGAUAAUGGGGAAGAAGCGAGAGAUAAGGAAUGGACACGAGGAACAUGGGUUCAGGUAGAGGAAGGAGGACAACCGGGAAAGUCUAGACUUUGACGCUUUAGAAUAUGAAAAAAAUUAUUUAUAUAUAGAAAACAACUAAUUAAAAGAAAAAAAAAUUAUUUAUUUGGAUAAGAAAAGAGAGCAAAAGUCUCUCUCUGUCUCUGUAAUUUCUCUACGCGUGUCAUAUAAAUACAGCCUAACAGCGGAGAUGAAGCUCUCCUCCUCCAUGGAAG
This 779-nucleotide unclassified non-coding RNA is filed under the name Hevea brasiliensis (rubber tree). The record is from RNAcentral. Lineage: Eukaryota; Viridiplantae; Streptophyta; Magnoliopsida; Malpighiales; Euphorbiaceae.